Molecule: long non-coding RNA, 665 nt
Organism: Prionailurus viverrinus (fishing cat)
Lineage: Eukaryota; Metazoa; Chordata; Mammalia; Carnivora; Felidae
Exons: 4
Source: RefSeq, a predicted model, not a curated record
AUUGUGAAAGACUUGUAAGUCAUCUGGUAUGAUUCUGGCACAUACAUCAAACAUUCACUCAAGAAGUAUUUGAAUGACUGCCUCGUGCUGCCAGGUGUUUGGGAUACAGCAGUGAGCAAAACCAGAGAUGGGUACUGUUUCUAUCUUCUGCACUAGAAAGUAAGCUCCAGCAGGGAAUGUAGGGUCCGUGAGAGCAGGAGCCCUUUUUGUCUUACUCCCUAUUGUCGUCCCAGAGCCUAGGAUGUUGCCUAGCAUAUACACACAGAUCUCUCUUGGACACUGGGGAUCAAAGCAUCUAUCUAUCAUGAUAUUCAGAACUCCCCUCCAGUAUUAACUAAGGAUGUUAGAUUUUGCAGCUUCUUUCAGAGCAGUUGCUAAGGGUACCACAUUGCUUAUCCUCAUCAUUGCAGAGCAAGACAAGACUGUAUCCAGAGGGCUGAUCUCAUUUUGAUGGAAAUCACAAUGAUGGAAAAAAUCUUCCAUCAUUUUUCAUAUCUCUUGCAACUCCCUGUCCCUUCCCCCCACCAGGUAGCAUCCAUAGGCUCCUUCUUGGUCCACUCUGUCCACUGCUUAUACCUCCCUCCACUUUUGGCAGUUGACCUUCCUUAAAGGCAUUGCAUUGAGAGACUAAGAGAAAAAUUACCAGGUGUACUCACAACUGCAAA